GGAGCCAAUGACCGCGAAGCUGCCCGUCUGGCCCAGUGUCUGAUGAUGGAAGUAGAUAUGUAACAGCGUCUGCACGGGGUCAUCUUCACAGCUGCCAAAGAUGUCAUUGGGCCAGAGAGACCUGGAAAUACAAACUCGGAGAUGUAAGCAUGAAGAUGAACUAUAUUUUAAGGCUCAAAUGAAGGUUAAAAUUUAAUGGAGGAAGAGGUUUCAUUUCUGGAUAUGACAGAGCAGCUUGUAUAAAAAGACCCAUCCUUCACGGACAACUAUAGAAGCUAAAUACCAUCAGCCAGGACUUGGGGACUUGAAAGCAUGGAAGUGAACCCCGUCUCUUACUAAAGCGGUAUGUGCCUGUUCCUGUUGCUGGACAGAACAGCUGAACAUAGUAGGAGCCUUGAGUUUGCACACUAUAAGGACAGUGAGGUAUUGAGUGCCAAGAUGCUGGGGAAAAGGAGAGCUCAAGGGCUGAGUCUGACAGCCUCUGUGUACUUUCUCUUGGGGAACUUGCUGUUCUGUUGAUCAUGUGCAAGAGAAGAGGCCAAAAGCAAAGCAGAUACUUCAUCUCAUGGUUGUGAGCUUUAGAAGACUUGAAUAAUUAAAAAACAUUUAAUGAAACUAGCACAGGCUGGGCUGGAAGUCUUUCAUGAGUGUCUUGAGCUGUGUGCAGCACACUGGGAAUGCUACUGUAAGGCUUGUUAAGAUGUGGCCUUAUGCACCUGAGUCACUAGAUAUGGCACUACGUGACUUGUGGCUCUUCCUCAAAGUCAAAAUGAUCAUGAAAGGUAAACUUUUGAAUUGAUUUAGCACAUCAAGGCAGUAAAGACACAAAAACAGAUUUCUACAACUGUUUCAGAAAGUGACGAGCUGUGCAUGGUGGUGCAUGUGUCUAAUUUCAGCACUCAGGAGGUUGAGGCAGGAGGAUCACUGAGUUUGAGACCAGCCUGAACUACACAGCAAGACCCUGUCUCAAAAAAAAAAAAUGUGCAGUGGAAUACAUGUGUUGGAAGAAAGGGGAGAAUAUUCAGAGGGGGAUUACAAUGUAUCUCUUACGGCAAUUUAAAAAAUUUAAAACAUUUUUUAUAAACUUGAGUCAUGUAUAUAUAAUGACGUAUCUUGGGAUGCAACCCAACUCUAAAAAUUUGUUUUAUAUAUGCCUUAUACACAGAGCCUAAAGGUGAUUUUACAUAGCAGUCUUAGACAAUAACUUGCAGGACAUACAUUUUGUGUACACUGAACCACCAGAGACAAAGGGGUCACUCGGCCACCCAUGAGGACAGCCUGUGUUGGUCUGGCAUCAGCAUCAUCCCUUGCGCAUUCAUACACCUGGGUUGGUUUUUUUUUAAACAGGAUCUCACUACACAAGCCAGGCUGACCUUGAACUCCAUGAUGCUUCUGCCUCAGCCUCCUAGAUGCUGGAAUCAGGCAUGUGUCUUUACCCCUGGCUGGCUUUUUGACUACGACCUGUCACAGGUCUGGUGUGGAAUUUUUAAUUUGUGACAUGUUUCAUAUUUUGAAUUUUAGAUGACUGGAUUAAAGAUGCUCAGCCUAUCUGAUAUACAGUAUUUGUCCUUCAGGUUUCCUUGACAGUAUGAAAUGCCUAGGUUUCACACAUAAUUUUUCAUAGGUCUUAACAUGUGACAGACAGCUAAUAACAAAAGAUUUAUCCAUCAUAAAAAAACCCCACCUAAGUACAAUGUGUCUAAAGGGAAGAAGCAUUUUUGUUGUUGUUUUGUUUUCUGCACAGGCCAGAUGAAAAUGUACUGGAUUUACUCUCAGGGGACUGGCUGGUGGUAUUUUUCCAUGACAGACUGGACCUGAAAAGCCUUUUCUUAGCAGGCAGUAUCUGCAAUCCAGGAUGUGUUUCCUUUUCUCUUGCCCAUGUGCACCUACCCGUCACAGGGACAAACUGGGCUUUGUCAAAGGCUGAAGAUUUUCAGACCGCAAUUCUGUAAUGCACUCAAUGAGAAAUAUUGCUUCAUUUCCCCAUUUCCAGUGUUUUGAGCAGCUCCACACAUCAGCGCCUCACAAAGCUUUGAUCUUUCACUGUGUUCCUGGAGGGCAGGUUUCUUAAAGGCAAAAACUGGUUCCCUGGGCAAAGAGGAGAGCACCCAGGACCUACUGUUCUCCACCCCCAGGCCAGGGCUCUCCUGUCCUGUGUGAGCUCAACUCUUCCAGUGUUGAUAAGCAAAGCACUUUCAUCACAGGAGACUCACCUGUUCAGCGGCUUCUCUUUUGGCGUUGUAUGUAUCCAGGUGUUCUUGCAACUCCAAAACACUGAACUUGAGUGUUUCUAGCAAGCCACAUGACAUUAGCUGUCAAAUCAAAUACAUCAAUCCUGGUUACCAUUCCCAAGCCAGUCACGACCCGGCCACUUUCGGGUCUUACAGCAUCUGUUAGUUGGCUUUCAGACACUCUGUUAUUGUACUCUGUCCCAUUCUAAGGGCUGGUUUUCCAGUUCAGAGACUGGGAGGUGUCAGCAAGGACAGGGAUACUUUCAAAAAGUGGCAAAAGCAAGAUUGGCAUGUCAGAGCACUAGACACCCCAAAGACACCAUUUUUGAAGCUUUUAAAACUUUUUUUUUUUUUUUUUGUACCAUGGAUCAAACUCAUGACCUCACACCAUACAGGGCAGGUGUUUAUGCUGCUGAGCUAAAUCGCAGCCCUAAAACCAUUUCUUUAAAUAUAUUGUUAUAUAAUCUAUGUGUACCUGGCAAGUCAGGGGAAACCAGGGUGCCCUGGCUAUUUCUAGGCAUUUACCUAUUCUGACUCAAGAAUCAGGGGAAAGAACGCAUCUCUAGAGCAUGGCUCUUCAGCCUCCCAACCAGGACUUUUGAGCGGGUACAGAGGGGUUGGAAUCGAUCACAGGGCAUCGCAUGUAAUACACUGGAAUGGUAUUUUGUCAGAUAGUUACAAUCAAGUUGAAAAGAACCAUGACACUUUAGAAUUACUUACAAAAAAGUAAUUGAAUGACGCCAUUCCAAUUGUAUAAAAACGUACCGUUUCAGCAUCCACAAAGACUGUUGGGCACUCUGAACACAUCAUCAUCACUUCCAAUGAACUUUUAAAUUUGGUACCAAUGCGCUGCAGACUCUCACCAAGAAAGUUGACUGCCUCGUUAGUUAUUUCUCCAAAUUUUCUUUGAAUUGUCUAGGGGAAAAGGCAUUAAGGAAAAGCUUAAUAUUUCUUAAGAAGGCCCUUUUUCACUAAGUAAAGCAGCAUAACUUACAAUUAGGGCAAAUUAAAAAAAAUUACUGUAGUUACGGAUCCAGGUGUGAUGGUGCCUCCUAUAACCGCAGCACUGAGGGAGGAAGACUAGAAAUUUAAGCUCAACCUGGGCAAUAUAGUGAGGCUCAGUGUCAAAAAGUGGAGGGAUGUAGCUCAGGGUGGAGGCGCUGGUUCAGUCUCUAGUACCAAAAUGUUGAGAAUAGUUACUGAGAGGCAUUUAACAUAUUAAUGCUUAGCACCCAGUGAGUAUUCAGUACAUGAUACUUUUAUUACUACUAGGUUUUUAACCUUAAUAACUGUAGGUAAGGUCUCACAAUGAUAAGCAUGAAUUUAAUGCUCUUUAAUAAACUUUGAGAGCUCUAUAACGAAAACUAUAGUACUCUGAAACAGGAGAUAGACAUCAGAAAAUGGAGUAAGAUCGCCUACUCCUAGUUAUGUAGAACCAGUAUUGUCAAAAUAACCAUAUUUCCAAAAUUGAUACAUAGAUUUAAUGGAAUCCUAAUAAAAAUACCAGUGGCAUUCCUCAUAGAGCUAGAGAGAACAACUGUAAAAGCCAUAUGGAACUAGAAGAGAGCCCAAUAGCAAAACACCACAAUACCAGGCUUAAAUUGUACUACAAAGCUGUUGUGAUAAAAAGGAUAUGGCUUUAGCACAAACAGACAUCGGUCAGUGGAAUAAAACAGGAUUCAGAAACAAUCCCAGGCAUAUGCAGGAGGGAAAGAUGGCCUUUUUAGUAAGUGGUGCUGGGAAAAUUGACCACACACAUGCAGAAGAUUGUAGAUGUAUGUUUCUCCCUAUGUACUACACUACAAUUAAAAUGGAUCAAAGACCUAAAUAUUACAACAAUCUACUGGAAGAUAAAUAGGUUAAACUUCUUGACAUAGGAAGGACUUUCCGAACAGAAUCCCAAUUGCAUAAAAAAUAUCAAGAACCAACAAAUAGGAUUAUAUCAAAUUAAAAAGCUUCUGCACAUCAAAGGAAACAACAGAGUGAAGAGAUGACCUACAGAAUGAGAAGCCAUUUGCCAGCUAUUUCUUAACAGAGAUAACUAAUAUUUAGACUGUAAAGAACUCACAAAAUUUUCCCCUAAGUAAAAGAUCCCAUCAAAAACUGGGCAAUUGAAAUGAACUGAGACUUCUUACAUGUAGCUAAUAAACAGGGGGAAAAGCUCAACAUCUCUGACCAUUAGAGAAACAGAAAAUGACACCAAGAUUAUUUUACUAUCAUCAAUAAUAAAUGCUGGUGAGGCUAUGGGGAAAAAGGAUCCCUUCUGCACUGUUGAUGAGAAUGUAAACUUGGACAAUCACUAUUGAAACCACAAUAGAGAUUCCUCAAAAACUAAAGCUUCUAUUUGACCCAACUAUUUCCUUUCUGGGUGUAUUCCAAAAGAGUUCAAGAUAGCUGUUACUGUAAUACAUGUGUACCUACCUUUAUGGCAGCACAACUCAUGAUGGCUAAAUUGUGGAAGUGACAGUGAAGAAAAUGUAUUUAUACCCCAUGGGAGCACUCCUCUGCCAUAAAGUAAACGUGAAUCAUUUGGCAGGAAAUAGAUGCACCUUGAGACCAUAAUGUAAAGUAAAACCACAAGCCUAACUAUUGCAUGGAUUCUCUUAAAUGAGGAUCCCAAAGCAUAAAUAAAGGACAAGUUAAAAAAUAGAAAAAAAUGCAAGCAGGCAGUCGUGAGUUCGAUCCCUGGUACUGAUAAAAACGAAAAAGUCAAAAAAAAAAAAAAAAAAAAAAAAAAAAGAAAAAAAAGAAAAAAAUGGGAAGAACUGAGAUGGAGCAGAGCGGAAAGGAAUGAAAACAGAAUUAAGAUGUGUCAUGUACACAUACUGACUUCCCGAAACACAGGUAAUUAUGUACUACAGUCAUUAUUAAAAUUUAAAAGAAACUCCAUGAUACCUGCCCAGCAUACUGCAGGUUACUGAUCAGAUGCCGGGUUGAAGUCUUAUUAUGUUGCUUUAGGGGACUUAGCUCUACAGGAAUUGUACUGCAGUACUACCAGGUCACCCCAUAAAUUUAAUACCACUAAUUUAGAAAACGAAAGUGUUAAAACCUAUAGUAAUAUUAAAAUUUGAGGUACAGAUUUUAUCAGAUAAUUACAACAUGAGCUAAGAAAACCUUAAACCCCACUGACCUGAAACAGUCUAGAAAACACAUGAAAAGUAAACACUGCGCAGGACCCAUCCGUGUCGGAUAGCAUCUGACUGACAUGGCAACGCCAGGCUUCCUCUUCAUCAUCAUACGCCACUGGCUGAAAGGCUGCUAUGAUGGCAGAGAGGAAGGGCGAUGGUAGAGGGGAUGUCUGCACUUCCGGAAAACCAUCUUGCUCUUCUUCAUCUUGACUGUUAACACACAGAGCACGGUUAACACACAGAGCUAUCUUAAAGGAACAGAUGCGAGUGCUUUCACACUGACUUUUUAUUGACAUACACAUUCUUUAGAAAAUACCACAACAACCUAAACUGUCUAAGAAGGUAUGAGUAAGUGUUCUUAAUACUUAGCAUCUUUGGAACACAGCUCUUAAUUUCAUGCAAGUACUUUAAUCUAAGUCCUAUACUGUCCCCUGGCUAAGAACUAAUGUCAGUGUUACGAAUCAUACAGAUUAGAAUGCUUUCAUUUUAAAUGGUCGGUUUGGGGCACUUUUAUUUGAACAGCUCCCAUUAAUAUUAAUAGUGAAAAGCUUUCAUCACUUACUACUUUUGUUUUAAAGAUCAGGUUAGGUGCUUUAUAUAGAUCAUUUUAUUUAAUCUUCACAAUAAUUCUGAGAACAUUAGGUUCCGUUGUUAUCCUGAUUUUGCAAAAAAGUUCAGAGAAGUUAAUAAUGUGCCUGGAUUAUUGGGCAGGAAGUAGCCGAGCCAGAAUUUAGCACCCACAAGUACAGGUUUAAAGCUAGUGCUGUUAGCCAGCACGUACUGACACCUUAGCUACUUCGGGAGCACACCACAGUGUGUCUUGUAGUGUGCCAGACAGUAAAACUGACUCAAACGUAAGACUUGGUCAUUUUUUCUGAGAAACUGAUAAUCUUACCAGAUAACAUCUAUGAAAGGAACAAGGAAAAAACACUAAGAUGUGUUUGGGUUGGGUAGUCUAUGGCUUGAGUUUGUAAAGAGAGUAAGUGUGAGGCAUUCCGUGUAUCACUCAGAGUCUGAAAAUCGCAUGGGUCACAUUACAAGAUAGUGCCAUAUGCCUUUGUAGGAAUUAUAGAGCAAAUCAUGUGACAUCGAGGGACCUGAGUAAAGAUGGGAGAAAAAUAUCAAAAUAAAGUAGACCUCUGGAGGCAAACAAUACUUCAAAAAGGGUAGUUUUAAUAUUGUUACUGAGGUGACUGAUUUUAACAAACUGUCCCCCCACCUUCUCGUUUAUGAGGGCUGCUUGAUUCUAUCCCACCUGUAGUGUUUGCUGAAAAAAAAUGUUUGGCUUCAGCCUUUUGGACGGACAAAGAAUAUUUACCUUAAUAUUACGUCUGUUGUCCCUGCAUGUGCGCACGACUGAGUGAUUAUAUGGGCCACUGCUAUAUCCAACUCAGCAGCAUGAAAAAGAUGUCUCUAACAUGUAUUGUCAACAACUGAGCAUGCCUCAUUUAUAGGAAAGCAUGCUAGAUACACUGAGGGUGAGACUCCCCCAUACGUUUUAUGUGUUAAAACUCAUUACAUCAACUACAAAGGCAUAAUAUUUAUUGUAAAACUCUGAAAUACUUCAUUAUUAAAUGUUAAAUUUGUAUAACAAUAAGGAGCUUCAGAAUGCUGAAUGGGAACACAGAACGUACUGAUCGAAUGCAGUAAGUUAGAUACGUUUAGUGCAUUAUUUUGAGCCAUACAUAUUUCUAAAAUUUAAAUAGAAGUUAAGCUGUCAUAAUUCUGAUCAUUACAGAGCUAUUUGGAAUGCAAGUUUCCUAACAGCCACCAAAAUUUCCUGUAAGAACUGUAUGUAAUAGUUGACUGGUCAGCUAAGCCAAAAGUGGAGAUAAAGUCUUACUUGGGAAGUUCUCAUACUUUCUGAAAAUAUAUUUUCAAUAUAUGGAGCAUAAACAUUUAAAAGGAACAACCUAGGUUCAGAUAGUAUUAAGAAACUGUCAUUUCUGUUUAUUGUGGAAAUCAAACCUUUAAAACCUGACACAGAUAAAGGAACAAUAAAAAGAGUUUUGAAUAUGU
This is a long non-coding RNA of Cavia porcellus (domestic guinea pig), 7378 nucleotides long. RefSeq lists it as uncharacterized. Lineage: Eukaryota; Metazoa; Chordata; Mammalia; Rodentia; Caviidae. The transcript is spliced from 2 exons. The record is from RefSeq and is a predicted model, not a curated record.